AGAAUCCUUGGCCUCCCAGAAAUUGAAUCGGCUGGCCGCGUGCUUACACAUGCAAGUCGUACGAGACUCUUAGCUUGCUAAAGAUAGUUAAGUGCGCACGGGUGAGUACACGUGGGUAAUCUACCUUUAAUUUGGGAUAACUCUGCGAAAGCGGGGGCUAAACCCGGGAUAAAUAUCUCAAAACCCUCCGGUUUUGAGAUCAAAAGUGGCCUCUACAUGUAAGCUACUGUUUGGAGAUGAGCCCGCGUACCCAUUAGCUUGUUGGUAGGGUAAUGGCCUACCAAGGCAACGAUGGUUAGCUGGUCUGAGAGGAUGAUCAGCCACACUGGAACUGACACACGGUCCCAGACUCCUACGGGAGGCAGCAGUGAGGAAUUUUGCGCAAUGGGGGAAACCCUGACGCAGCAACGCCGCGUGAGUGAUGAAGGCCUUCGGGUCGUAAAGCUCUGUCAAGUGGGAAGAACCUGAAAAAUGCUAAUAUCAUUUUUCACUGACGGUACCACUAAAGGAAGCACCGGCUAACUCCGUGCCAGCAGCCGCGGUAAUACGGAGGGUGCAAGCGUUAUUCGGAAUUAUUGGGCGUAAAGGGCGCGUAGGCGGCCUCUUAAGUCAGAUGUGAAAGCCCGGGGCUUAACCCCGGAAGUGCAUUUGAAACUAAGGGGCUUGAGUAUGGGAGAGGGAAGUGGAAUUCCUGGUGUAGCGGUGAAAUGCAUAGAUAUCAGGAGGAACACCGGUGGCGAAGGCGACUUCCUGGACCAAUACUGACGCUGAGGCGCGAAGGCGUGGGUAGCAAACAGGAUUAGACACCCUGGUAGUCCACGCAGUAAACGGUGAACACUAGGUGUAGCGGGUAUUGACCCCUGSUNWGCSGCMGYYARYGYRYUNRGWRUUCNGCCYKKRGAGUWYGANCCNGCAMRGUWUAAACUCAAAGGAAUUGACGG
This 941-nucleotide ribosomal RNA is filed under the name uncultured delta proteobacterium. RNAcentral describes it as "partial 16S ribosomal RNA". It matches the Rfam family "Bacterial small subunit ribosomal RNA", at positions 1 to 916 of the family's 1533-position model. The record is from RNAcentral. Lineage: Bacteria; Deltaproteobacteria.